This 769-nucleotide ribosomal RNA is filed under the name Corynebacterium sp. RNAcentral's name for it is "bacterial SSU rRNA". It matches the Rfam family "Bacterial small subunit ribosomal RNA", at positions 47 to 835 of the family's 1533-position model. Lineage: Bacteria; Bacillati; Actinomycetota; Actinomycetes; Mycobacteriales; Corynebacteriaceae. The record is from RNAcentral.
UCUUACCAUGCAGUCGACGGAAGGCCCUGCUUGCAGGGUACUCGAGUGGCGAACGGGUGAGUAACACGUGGGUGAUCUGCCCUGCACUUCGGGAUAAGCCUGGGAAACUGGGUCUAAUACCGGAUAGGACCAUCGUUUACUGUCGGUGGUGGAAAGUUUUUCGGUGCAGGAUGAGCCCGCGGCCUAUCACCUUGUUGGUGGGGUAAUGGCCUACCAAGGCGUCGACGGGUAGCCGGCCUGAGAGGGUGGACGGCCACAUUGGGACUGAGACACGGCCCAGACUCCUACGGGAGGCAGCAGUGGGGAAUAUUGCACAAUGGGCGCAAGCCUGAUGCAGCGACGCCGCGUGGGGGAUGAAGGCCUUCGGGUUGUAAACUCCUUUCACCAGGGACAAAGCUUUUGUGACGGUACCUGCACAAGAAGCACCGGCUAACUACGUGCCAGCACCCGCGGUAAUACGUAGGGUGCGAGCGUUGUCCGGAAUUACUGGGCGUAAAGAGCUCGUAGGUGGUUUGUCGCGUCCUCUGUGAAAUUCCGGGGCUUAACUCCGGGCGUGCAGGCGAUACGGGCAUAACUUGAGUGCUGUAGGGGAGACUGGAAUUCCUGGUGUAGCGGUGAAAUGCGCAGAUAUCAGGAGGAACACCGAUGGCGAAGGCAGGUCUCUGGGCAGUUACUGACGCUGAGGAGCGAAAGCAUGGGUAGCGAACAGGAUUAGAUACCCUGGUAGUCCAUGCCGUAAACGGUGGGCGCUAAGGUGUGGGGGUCUUCC